Pongo abelii (Sumatran orangutan) is the source of this 117-nucleotide unclassified non-coding RNA. It matches the Rfam family "Metazoan signal recognition particle RNA". From Rfam's summary of the family: The signal recognition particle (SRP) is a universally conserved ribonucleoprotein. Lineage: Eukaryota; Metazoa; Chordata; Mammalia; Primates; Hominidae. The record is from Ensembl.
GCUGGGUGCGGCGGCUCACACCUGUAAUCCCAGCACUUUGGGAGGCUGAGGUGGGUGGAUCACCUGAGGUCAGGAGUUCAAGACCAGCCUGGCCAACAUGGUGAAACCCCAUCUCUG